Molecule: ribosomal RNA, 253 nt
Filed under: uncultured bacterium
Lineage: Bacteria
Description: partial 16S ribosomal RNA
Rfam family: Bacterial small subunit ribosomal RNA
Source: RNAcentral
UACGGAGGGUGCAAGCGUUGCUCGGAAUUAUUGGGCGUAAAGGGCAGGUAGGUGGUCUCAUUUGUCAGGGGUGAAAGCCUUGGGCUUAACUCAAGAAGUGCCCCUGAAACGGUGAGACUGGAGUGCUGGAGAGGGUCGUGGAAUUCCCGGUGUAGCAGUGAAAUGCGUAGAGAUCGGGAGGAACACCAGUGGCGAAGGCGGCUACCUGGACCAGCACUGACACUGAAGCACGAAAGCGUGGGGAGCAAACAGG